Molecule: non-coding RNA, 119 nt
Organism: Picea glauca (white spruce)
Lineage: Eukaryota; Viridiplantae; Streptophyta; Pinopsida; Pinales; Pinaceae
Source: Rfam
AGGUGCGAUCAUACCAGCAUUAAUGCACCAGAUCCCAUCUAAACUCCAUAGUUAAGCGUGCUUGGCCUAAAGUAGUACUGGGAUGGGUGACUUCCCAGAAAGUCCUAGUGUUUCACCCU